UCCCGGUGGCGUAAUGGAUAGCGCGUUGGAAUUCUCAUCCAAAGGUUGUGGGUUCGAAUCCACGUGGAAAA
Molecule: non-coding RNA, 71 nt
Organism: Trichonephila inaurata madagascariensis
Lineage: Eukaryota; Metazoa; Arthropoda; Arachnida; Araneae; Nephilidae
Source: the annotation of a GenBank genome assembly